Molecule: ribosomal RNA, 363 nt
Filed under: Triticum aestivum (bread wheat)
Lineage: Eukaryota; Viridiplantae; Streptophyta; Magnoliopsida; Poales; Poaceae
Description: partial small subunit ribosomal RNA
Source: RNAcentral
AUGACCGUGGCGCUCGAGGAUGUUGCCUUGAUCAUCGGGCUUCCUAUCGAUGGGAGGCCUCUAUGUAUGAGCACUGAUUCUGAUGGGUGGCGCUAGCAGAUGAUUGCUCUUAUCAGUAUGGCUCCUACCGAGGAUGAGGGAGAAGAGAAGAAGAAGAAGGAAAGGAAAGCCGAUGGAGCUGCUUUCACGUGGAUUCAAAGCAACUUUGAGCAUUGCCCUGCGGAUGCCACUGAUGAUGUGGUACAGACACGUGCUCGUGUCUAUAUGUGGUACGUUGUCUCGAGGGCUUUGUUUCCUGAUUCCACAGGCAAGAACGCUCCAUGGAUGUGCCUGAAGGCGUUGACCGUCUUUGAUAGCGGAUGA